RNAcentral lists this long non-coding RNA (412 nucleotides) under Gallus gallus (chicken). Lineage: Eukaryota; Metazoa; Chordata; Aves; Galliformes; Phasianidae. The record is from RNAcentral.
CCGGUCCUUGGAGAUCGGGAAGGCCACCGGUGUGAACUGAGAGACCUCCUUCAGGAAGGAGAUGAUCCCGUUGUUGUUCACGUAGAGCCCGGUGUGCCCCGCUCCGAAGAAGGGGAAGCGCACGGAGAGGGGCCGCAGCUCGGAGCCGCCGUCGUCCUGCUUCAGCGUGGCGGCGUCGCCCUGCGCCGGCCCGAACGGGUAGAAGUCCGCCAGCGGCACCACGCCGCCCGCCCGCAGCCACUCGCCCAGCAGCGCCGCCAGCGCCACCCAGCCCGCCGGGCCCCGCAUGGCCGCGCCCGUCGCACUCCGGCCCGCGUCUCCCUCACGCCGGCACCGGCAGCCGCGACAUGGCGGCGCGCGAGGCGGAGCGGAGCGGAAUGGAACGGAUCCGCGCCCGCAGCUCGGAGCUCCG